RNAcentral lists this long non-coding RNA (888 nucleotides) under Homo sapiens (human). Its description in RNAcentral is "HSALNT0050563". Lineage: Eukaryota; Metazoa; Chordata; Mammalia; Primates; Hominidae. The record is from RNAcentral.
AAGGAUGUUGCUCAAGAAGGGACAGGAGUGAAGUGUCCAGGCUCAUCAACAGUCUGUGUGCAAAGUUACAGAAAAUUUCUUCUCACAGCCUUUGAGAGAGAAAAUUCUAUGGCCUUCAGACUUGGAUUAGAACUACACCACCGGCUCUCCAGGAUCUGCAGCUUGUAGAUGGCAGAUUGUGGACAUUCUCAGCCUUCAUAAUCAUCUACAUGUUGCAGAUGAUCCUAUGGGGAGGCCCAUGUGGCAGAGAACUAAAGGAGGCCUCUGGCCAGCAGCCAGUGAAGAGCUCAGGCACUCUGUUAAAAGCCCAUGAAGAAUGGAAUCCCGACAAAAAUCUCUUGAGUAAACUUAGAAUAAGAUCCAUCCCCAGUCAAGCCUGAAGAUGAGACUGCAGCCCAGCCAGCACCUUGAUUAGGCCUUGUUAGGGACCAGAGAACUCAGCUAAGCCAUGCCUAGAUUCUUGAUGCACAGAAACUGUGAGAUAAUGACUAUGGGUUAGUUUAAGUCACUAAUUUGGAGAGAGUAAUUUAUUAAACAGUAAUAAAUAACUAGUACAGCAAUGUUCCUACACAUAUACAUCUAUAGAACUUAGGAAAUCCACAAUAAAAUAACCAACUCAACAAUGGAAGUUACAGUUUUGAAGAAUGACCAUCCAUCAAGAUGGGGCAAGCAACCAGAAGAAAAUUUUUACAAUUAUCCAUUUUUGAAACUUGAAAUUUAUGUACUUCCUUGUUUGAUGAUGCAUUAGCAUGAAGUGCUUACCAUAAUAAAAGGUUUUCCAUCAUGAUGUAGAAUAUUUUUUAAAAUCAUUGGAGGCAGCAGAGGAAGUAGACUUUCACAUUCAGUGAUGACUUAGGACUGUCCUUUGUAUUCAAUCAUAAAGCUUUU